GGUCGUUGUUAUGGGCUAAGUUGUGAUCGGUUUGUAUUUAAAACGAUUUGUAUGAUAUAACUGUUUUCGAUUCUGUUCUAUGUUUCUGUUGGCGAUUCGUUUCUCGUUUUAGAUCAAAGUCGUCACGAUUGUAUGUGUCAAUUGUUUUUUUGUUUGUAAAACAAGUGUCUAGGUCCGAAUUUCCAUGUUGUGUAUAAAACGGUAAGUUUGUAUACUGGCUUCAAUUCUGUUCUAUGUUUCCGUCGACGAUUCUGGAUCAGGUUUAGAUCAACGUCGUCACGAGUUGGCUGGUCCACACAAUGUGUCAAAUGUUUUCUUGUUGGUAAUACGAGUUUAUGUCCGACUCCGACGUUGUGUGCUACGUUCUAAAUGUGGAAUUCGUGUUACUGUUGUGAUCUAUAUCGGAUCGGUCGAUCUCGAAGUUGUAACGAUCUCGUAGUUGUGGAGUUUCGAAAGCGGCCUCGUUUUUCCUAGUUAGUGGCAGGACUACAUCCUGGACGUUUUUUUAUUUUCUAAUUAUUGACUACAUAGUUGUCAAAGUACCGUAGAAUACAAACGUAGGUUAGUUGGAUACCGUUUAGGGAGUAGGGUCUAUGUAGCUUACCUUAUUCCCACUGUAGUGGUCUUCGUGUUCUACUCGCGUACCCCGUCUCUGUCGUUUUCAUUACCGUUGGUACACGACGCGAGUCGCGGAUCUAGGUUCGUCUUUGCUUAGACCACGUUUAGAUGAUACUUUUUAGUACACCGGUGUUCAUCCUCCUGUCCUAUUUACGUAGGUACCACUCUAGAUGCUCGGGGCGGUGUUUACCUCUGGUCAGGACAUCUUGUCUGCUGUCCCUCCCUUACCUACUUCUGUUCCGUUGUCACUGUGGUGUCGGCUUCUCAUUCCCUUAUUUCGUUUAUGGGUUAUUUUGGUUCGAGGACCUCUCUAGACCUCUCCUUCUUUAUCGAAGGUAAGUCUAGACCUGACACCUCGUAAAAGUUCUAAACGUCGUCGAUCGCAAGUUAUCCGUCGUCUAUUUUGAUUCACUGUCAUCUAGUUCUACGUCUCGAGGGAAGUUAGGUUUGUCGCCAGUCGGUCCCUAGCUUCGCCGAGGAGCCAGUACGUUUGGUGUUCGGAUAGAGGAGCGAAAGUCUCUAUCCUAUCACCCUUGGUACUUGUUCGUCGACGUGUUUGGGAAGCCAUCUGGGAAGUAACCUUACUAUCCUCGAGGUGGAGUUUUGGUUUAGGUUUUGUUUGGUGUGUCUAGUUUCUUUUGGUUCGUUUUGUUCUAGACACGACACCAAGUGUUCGCCUUUGGUUCUUGUUUCUCGUGCUGGUAGGUACCUCCUAUACGACCGUUCUUGAACCAUCUGUUAUCCGGUGUAGAUACCCCGAUC
RNAcentral lists this ribosomal RNA (1380 nucleotides) under Triticum aestivum (bread wheat). RNAcentral's name for it is "partial small subunit ribosomal RNA". The record is from RNAcentral. Lineage: Eukaryota; Viridiplantae; Streptophyta; Magnoliopsida; Poales; Poaceae.